GAUGAACGCUGGCGGCGUGCUUAACACAUGCAAGUCGAACGAAGCACUUUAUUUGAUUUCCUUCGGGACUGAUUAUUUUGUGACUGAGUGGCGGACGGGUGAGUAACGCGUGGGUAACCUGCCUUGUACAGGGGGAUAACAGUUGGAAACGGCUGCUAAUACCGCAUAAGCGCACGGCAUCGCAUGAUGCAGUGUGAAAAACUCCGGUGGUAUAAGAUGGACCCGCGUUGGAUUAGCUAGUUGGUGAGGUAACGGCCCACCAAGGCGACGAUCCAUAGCCGACCUGAGAGGGGGACCGGCCACAUUGGGACUGAGACACGGCCCAAACUCCUGCGGGAGGCAGCAGUGGGGAAUAUUGAACAAUGGGCGAAAGCCUGAGGCAGCGACGCCGCGUGAGCGAAGAAGUAUUUCGGUAUGUAAAGCUCUAUCAGCAGGGAAGAUAAUGACGGUACCUGACGAAGAAGCACCGGCUAAAUACGUG
This 481-nucleotide ribosomal RNA is filed under the name uncultured bacterium. RNAcentral describes it as "partial 16S ribosomal RNA". It matches the Rfam family "Bacterial small subunit ribosomal RNA", at positions 28 to 507 of the family's 1533-position model. The record is from RNAcentral.